RNAcentral lists this ribosomal RNA (466 nucleotides) under uncultured bacterium. RNAcentral describes it as "partial 16S ribosomal RNA". It matches the Rfam family "Bacterial small subunit ribosomal RNA", at positions 29 to 507 of the family's 1533-position model. The record is from RNAcentral.
AUGAACGCUGACAGAAUGCUUAACACCUGCAAGUCAACUUGAAUUUGGGUUUUUAACUUAGGUUUGGGUGGCGGACGGGUGAGUAACGCGUAAAGAACUUGCCUCACAGCUAGGGACAACAUUUGGAAACGAAUGCUAAUACCUAAUAUUAUGAUAAUAGGGCAUCCUAUAAUUAUGAAAGCUAUAAGCGCUGUGAGAGAGCUUUGCGUCCCAUUAGCUAGUUGGAGAGGUAACGGCUCACCAAGGCGAUGAUGGGUAGCCGGCCUGAGAGGGUGAUCGGCCACAAGGGGACUGAGACACGGCCCUUACUCCUACGGGAGGCAGCAGUGGGGAAUAUUGGACAAUGGACCAAGAGUCUGAUCCAGCAAUUCUGUGUGCACGAUGAAGUUUUUCGGAAUGUAAAGUGCUUUCAGUUGGGAAGAAAGAAAUGACGGUACCAACAGAAGAAGUGACGGCUAAAUAAGUG